GCACAUUCUCGGCCUUCAGGCUAAGAUCAAGUGUAGUAUCAAUUCUUCUCAGCCUGAUCUCUGAGAUUAUUUGUUCAUAAACAGUUGAUUAUGAUGAUUUUUUUAAUCAAAAUUCACUGUGAUCUACAAUACAAAAGGGAUUGCUCUUUUGUAGAUUUACAACUCAAAUAAAUUUCAAUUUGUUUGGAUUAGUUGAAGAGGUG
This 203-nucleotide small nuclear RNA is filed under the name Reticulomyxa filosa. RNAcentral describes it as "U2 spliceosomal RNA". It matches the Rfam family "U2 spliceosomal RNA". From Rfam's summary of the family: U2 is a small nuclear RNA (snRNA) component of the spliceosome (involved in pre-mRNA splicing). Complementary binding between U2 snRNA (in an area lying towards the 5' end but 3' to hairpin I) and the branchpoint sequence (BPS) of the intron results the bulging out of an unpaired adenosine, on the BPS, which initiates a nucleophilic attack at the intronic 5' splice site, thus starting the first of two transesterification reactions that mediate splicing. Lineage: Eukaryota; Foraminifera; Reticulomyxidae. The record is from Rfam by way of RNAcentral.